RNAcentral lists this ribosomal RNA (374 nucleotides) under uncultured organism. RNAcentral's name for it is "bacterial SSU rRNA". It matches the Rfam family "Bacterial small subunit ribosomal RNA", at positions 526 to 896 of the family's 1533-position model. The record is from RNAcentral.
CGGGGGGAGCAAGCGUUGUUCGGAUUUACUGGGCGUAAAGGGCGCGUAGGCGGCCUCUGCAAGUCGACUGUGAAAUCUCCGGGCUUAACCCGGAAAGGUCAGCCGAUACUGCAGGGCUAGAGUGCAGAAGGGGCAACUGGAAUUCUCGGUGUAGCGGUGAAAUGCGUAGAUACCGAGAGGAGCACCUGCGGCGAAGGCGGGUUGCUGGGCUGACACUGACGCUGAAGUGCGAAAGCUAGGGGAGCGAACGGGAUUAGAUACCCCGGUAGUCCUAGCCUUAAACGAUGAAUGCUUGGUGUCUGGGGUUUUAUAGUCCCCGGGUGCCGUCGCUAACGCUUUAAGCAUUCCGCCUGGGGAGUACGGUCGCAAGACUG